ACUUUUAAAGGAUAAAAGCUAUCCAUUGGUCUUAGGAUCCAAAAAUUUUGGUGCAAAUCCAAAUGAAAGUA
RNAcentral lists this transfer RNA (71 nucleotides) under Pseudochirulus canescens (Lowland ringtail). RNAcentral's name for it is "tRNA-Leu". It matches the Rfam family "tRNA". Rfam says of the family: Transfer RNA (tRNA) molecules are approximately 80 nucleotides in length. Their secondary structure includes four short double-helical elements and three loops (D, anti-codon, and T loops). The record is from RNAcentral. Lineage: Eukaryota; Metazoa; Chordata; Mammalia; Diprotodontia; Pseudocheiridae.